RNAcentral lists this ribosomal RNA (467 nucleotides) under uncultured bacterium. RNAcentral's name for it is "bacterial SSU rRNA". It matches the Rfam family "Bacterial small subunit ribosomal RNA", at positions 355 to 825 of the family's 1533-position model. The record is from RNAcentral.
UUUCGAAUCAUCCACAAUGGGCGAAAGCCUGAUGGUGCGACGCCGCGUGAGGGAUGAAGGUCCUCGGAUUGUAAACCUCUGUCACCAGGGAGCAAAAACUAGACUCAUACUCUAGCUUGAGUUAACCUGGAGAGGAAGUAGUGGCAAACUCCGUGCCAGCAGCCGCGGUAAUACGUAGGUGGCAAGCGUUGUCCGGAUUUAUUGGGUUUAAAGGGUGCGUAGGUGGCCCUGUAAGUCAGUGGUGAAAUAUCUCAGCUUAACUGAGAGGGUGCCAUUGAUACUGCAGGGCUUGAGUACAGAUGAGGUAGGCGGAAUUGACGGUGUAGCGGUGAAAUGCGUAGAUAUCGUGAGGAACACCAGAGGCGAAGGCGGUUACCUGGACAGUUACUGACGCUCAGGCACGAAAGCAUGGGGAGCAAAAGGGAUUAGAUACCCAAGUAGUCCCUGAGCGGGCUGGCAAGGCGCAU